This 440-nucleotide ribosomal RNA is filed under the name uncultured bacterium. Its description in RNAcentral is "partial 16S ribosomal RNA". It matches the Rfam family "Bacterial small subunit ribosomal RNA", at positions 338 to 795 of the family's 1533-position model. The record is from RNAcentral.
CCUACGGGUGGCAGCAGUGGGGGAUAUUGCACAAUGGGGGAAACCCUGAUGCAGCGACGCCGCGUGGGUGAAGAAGCGCCUCGGCGCGUAAAGCCCUGUCAGCAGGGAAGAAAAUGACGGUAUCUCAAGAAGAAGCCCCGGCUCAUUACGUGCCACCAGCCGCGGGAAAACGCAGGGGGCAAGCGUUAUCCGGAUUUACUGGGUGUAAAGGGGGCGCAGACGGCGAUGCAAGCCCGAAGUGAAAGCCCGGGGCCCAACCCCGGGACUGCACUUGGAACUGCGUGGCUAGAGUGCAGGAGGGGCAGGCGGAAUUCCUGGUGUAGCGGUGAAAUGCGUAGAUAUUAGGAGGAACACCAGUGGCGAAGGCGGCCUGCUGGACUGCAACUGACGUUGAGGCCCGAAAGCGUGGGGAGCAAACAGGAUUAGAUACCCGGGUAGUC